AUUGAACGCUGGCGGCAGGCCUAACACAUGCAAGUCGAGCGGAUGAAGAGAGCUUGCUCUCUGAUUCAGCGGCGGACGGGUGAGUAAUGCCUAGGAAUCUGCCUGGUAGUGGGGGACAACGUUUCGAAAGGAACGCUAAUACCGCAUACGUCCUACGGGAGAAAGCAGGGGACCUUCGGGCCUUGCGCUAUCAGAUGAGCCUAGGUCGGAUUAGCUAGUUGGUGAGGUAAUGGCUCACCAAGGCGACGAUCCGUAACUGGUCUGAGAGGAUGAUCAGUCACACUGGAACUGAGACACGGUCCAGACUCCUACGGGAGGCAGCAGUGGGGAAUAUUGGACAAUGGGCGAAAGCCUGAUCCAGCCAUGCCGCGUGUGUGAAGAAGGUCUUCGGAUUGUAAAGCACUUUAAGUUGGGAGGAAGGGCAGUAAGUUAAUACCUUGUUGUUUUGACGUUACCGACAGAAUAAGCACCGGCUAACUCUGUGCCAGCAGCCGCCGUAA
RNAcentral lists this ribosomal RNA (500 nucleotides) under uncultured bacterium. Its description in RNAcentral is "partial 16S ribosomal RNA". It matches the Rfam family "Bacterial small subunit ribosomal RNA", at positions 30 to 523 of the family's 1533-position model. The record is from RNAcentral.